AGGGAAUGUUUAAUUAAUUGCUAAUUACGCGAUUCUUCCAUGAAAAAAAUUAAAUUAAAAAAAAUUGCUAUAAUAAAUAUCGGCUGUCUAUAAAACCCAUCGUCGAAUGACUUGUAACAAAGUAAUAACUAAUAUAAAUAUCGUGUACGGCGGCUGUUUUUAUUACGUUGUUAAGCAGGUACUCACCGAGUCACUAUUAAAUGGCCAUCGACAGCUGUAUUGGACAUCAUCAUUGGCGCUGCUGUUCUGACAAACGACUAGGUAUUACAACGGCAUGCACUUUUAUUUUAAUUGUUCGUAAAUGCGUAUUCGUAAACGUCAGCGGGAAAACAAUAUUACACAAAUGUUGACGGUGAAAAAAAAGACAUUACGUUAAUACAAAAUAAUAUGCGAAAACUCGAUACCGGCUGCGCGAACGACGCCGGGCGGACUCGACACUGAAGAGUUGUCG
Molecule: non-coding RNA, 451 nt
Organism: Cinara cedri
Lineage: Eukaryota; Metazoa; Arthropoda; Insecta; Hemiptera; Aphididae
Source: the annotation of a GenBank genome assembly